Molecule: non-coding RNA, 709 nt
Organism: Tachysurus fulvidraco (yellow catfish)
Lineage: Eukaryota; Metazoa; Chordata; Actinopteri; Siluriformes; Bagridae
Source: the annotation of a RefSeq genome assembly
ACAAUAUGCAAAUGAAUAUGUAAAAUGUUCCCCUUACAGCUACAUAUAGAGAAAUAUCAGCCACGGUCACUGUGGGCUCUGGAGAGUUUAGCACUGCUUUUAGUUAUAUGAUGUUCCUUCCAGUUCUGCUGCUGCUGGCAGCUUCAUCCUAUGUGGAAUGUGCAGUAGAGCUCACUCAGGACACCUCAGUGAUGUUAAAGCCUGGAGAUUCUUUAAUCCUCAGCUGUAAAGUAUCCGGUUACUCAGUUACUGAUGGCAGCUACGCCACAGCUUGGAUCCGACAACCUGCAGGGAAAACUCUGGAAUGGAUAAACCACAUUUGGGGGGGUGGAACCAUACGUUAUAAAGAGUCUCUAAAAAGCAAGUUCAGUAUUUCCAAAGAUGCCUCCAGCAGCACGGUGACACUGAGAGGACAGAACAUGCAGACUGAAGACACAGCUGUGUAUUACUGCGCUCGUGUAACACACAGUGACACAACAAGCUGCAGUGCUGAAUUUAGAAACACAGAGUCUGUCGAGGCUACAAACUCCUGGAAUUAAAAAUCACCUGUAGGGGGCAGCAGCUGCUUAUUUUCAAGAAGGAUUCAUAAAACUAUGAAACCUAACAGCUGAAGUGUGUUUAUGCAAAUUCACCCUGUUAUAAUACAAAAACAUCCUCUUGCUCACCCGAAGUUCAGAUUCAGACAUGUUCAUAUUCCGGUUCUUUAAAU